RNAcentral lists this ribosomal RNA (468 nucleotides) under uncultured bacterium. RNAcentral's name for it is "partial 16S ribosomal RNA". It matches the Rfam family "Bacterial small subunit ribosomal RNA", at positions 28 to 507 of the family's 1533-position model. The record is from RNAcentral.
GACGAACGCUGGCGGCGUGCUUAACACAUGCAAGUCGAACGGAAAGGCCCGGCUUUUGUGGCGUGCUCGAGUGGCGAACGGGUGAGUAACACGUGAGUAACCUGCCCUUGACUUUGGGAUAACUUCAGGAAACUGGGGCUAAUACCGGAUAGGAGCUCCUGCUGCAAGGUGGGGGUUGGAAAGUUUCGGCGGUUGGGGCUGGACUCGCGGCUUAUCAGCUUGUUGGUGGGGUAGUGGCUGACCAAGGCUUUGACGGGUAGCCGGCCUGAGAGGGUGACCGGUCACAUUGGGACUGAGAUACGGCCCAGACUCCUACGGGAGGCAGCAGUGGGGAAUAUUGCACAAUGGGCGGAAGCCUGAUGCAGCAACGCCGCGUGCGGGAUGACGGCCUUCGGGUUGUAAACCGCUUUCGCCUGUGACGAAGCGUGAGUGACGGUAAUGGGUAAAGAAGCACCGGCUAACUACGUG